RNAcentral lists this ribosomal RNA (315 nucleotides) under uncultured Tomentella. RNAcentral's name for it is "eukaryotic LSU rRNA". Lineage: Eukaryota; Fungi; Basidiomycota; Agaricomycetes; Thelephorales; Thelephoraceae. The record is from RNAcentral.
GAACGCACCUUGCGCCCUUUGGCUAUUCCGAAGGGCAUGCCUGUUUGAGUAUCAUGAACACCUCAACUCUCAUGGUUUGCCAUGAUGAGCUUGGACUUUGGGGGUUUUGCCGGCUCUCUGUCGGCUCCUCUCAAAUCGAUCAGCUUGCCGGUGUUCGGUGGCGGUCACGGGUGUGAUAACUAUCUACGCUUGUGGCGGUUCACCAGGUAACCUCCAGUGAUGGAGGUUUGCUGGAGCUUCCAAUCGUCUCUCUUCUGCAAAGACAGCCUUUUGACGUUUGAUCUCAAAUCAGGUAGGACUACCCGCUGAACUUAA